GAUGAACGCUGGCGGCGUGCCUAAUACAUGCAAGUCGAGCGAACAGACGAGGAGCUUGCUCCUUUGACGUUAGCGGCGGACGGGUGAGUAACACGUGGGUAACCUACCUAUAAGACUGGGAUAACUUCGGGAAACCGGAGCUAAUACCGGAUAAUAUUUCGAACCGCAUGGUUCGAUAGUGAAAGAUGGCUCUGCUAUCACUUAUAGAUGGACCUGCGCCGUAUUAGCUAGUUGGUAAGGUAACGGCUUACCAAGGCAACGAUACGUAGCCGACCUGAGAGGGUGAUCGGCCACACUGGAACUGAGACACGGUCCAGACGACUACGGGAGGCAGCAGUAGGGAAUCGUCCGCAAUGGGCGAAAGCCUGACGGAGUAACGCCGCGUGAGUGAUGAAGGUCUUCGGAUCGUAAAACUCUGUUAUUAGGGAAGAACAAACGUGUAAGUAACUGUGCACGUCUUGACGGUACCUAAUCAGAAAGCCACGGCUAACUACGUG
This 497-nucleotide ribosomal RNA is filed under the name uncultured bacterium. RNAcentral's name for it is "partial 16S ribosomal RNA". It matches the Rfam family "Bacterial small subunit ribosomal RNA", at positions 28 to 507 of the family's 1533-position model. The record is from RNAcentral.